Populus trichocarpa (black cottonwood) is the source of this 1553-nucleotide long non-coding RNA. RefSeq lists it as uncharacterized. Lineage: Eukaryota; Viridiplantae; Streptophyta; Magnoliopsida; Malpighiales; Salicaceae. The record is from RefSeq and is a predicted model, not a curated record. The transcript has 2 exons.
CAUGUCAACAAGCAAAGCUAUGUCCUCCACAGAAUAUGGGGCAUGAUAGCUUUUACACCUAAUACAUAGUUUUCCAAUGAUUUUUGUCUUGUCUCACGCCUAUUUCUCUACCUAUAUAAGCACCCAUAUAGCCUGAUACUGAAAUUCAGGGGUUCUUAUACUCAUGAGGCCCACUUCCUUCAAUAGAGAUAAAUGGAAGCAACAGAGAUGUACAUGUUAAACCAGAAAUUGAGAUCAAAUCGAUGCUUUGAUCAUCACCAGCAAAGAACAAAAUGGCUACCAAGCUGAAGUUGACAAGCCAUCACAGUCUUCCAUUUUAACGAGGACACAUGCAGGCUACUUCAGGAUAAGCCUGUCUUUUGGUACACAAGCCUUGCUACGGAAGGUCCUAAGUGAGCCUAAUAAUAAUGGUUCACAAGAUGUCUGGCACGUAUUUCGUAUGCUUCCUUCAACUGCUUUUCUUUUGCUAUGGUGGCUCGCACUUCUGAUACAAAUUUCCCUCUCUCUUAUCUAUGUUCUGAAAUGUUUCUUUCACUUUAACUUGGUGAAGCAAGAGUUCUUGCACUAUAUAGGAGUAAACUACUCGUAUGCUCCUUGGAUUUCAUGGUUUUUGUUGCUUCAAUCGUCACCUAUAUCUAUUUCAGAAAUUGUUCCCUAUUUUGUUGUUUGUAGCAUCUUUACUGUUCCUAUUGUGAUGCUCGAUAUAAAACUAGGCCUGUGAUAAUACCAUAUGUAUUCUGAGUGAGGGAAACUUUGCUCUCAUCUAAUUAAUCAAUCUGUAUACUGUGUAACAGACUUGUAGGCCAGCUCUUUUCAAGAAAUCAAUGAGAAAAUUCAAUGUUGCAUGGACAUGGGGUUUCAUGCACCACCGGGAGUGAUUUUUGUAGGUUCCAAGUUAUAUGUUUUUUGGUUGGUGUCAUCUUCUCCCUCCACACCCUCUGGGUUUCAUCAAACCACUCUCAAGGAUGAAACAAACUCUUUUCAUUGACGUAGAUGCAGGAGAGAAGAUUGAUGGUCCACCAAUGUAUGUCUGGCAAGUGUUCUCCAUAUGCUAUUUAUGUGAACGGAAAAAAUUGCAUGUUUGAGAGGCGGCUUGAUCCUGAAAGAGCUCCAAACUUCGAGCUCUUUGAUGGAGUGAAGCAUUCAUGGUCUGAACUUCCCUAACUCCCGAAACUCCCAGCAAGAUUCUUGCCCUUUAUGACUCAGCGAGACCACAUCGUAGACGGAGAUGCAUGCAUGCUGUGUUUAUAUGGAUUCGACAGGUAUAUAUUGGCUGUAAAACAUAAACCGAGUGGGAGCAUCUUAUCCAAUUUGGUGGCGUAGCUCAUUUUCCAUUUACUGGGUUUGGAAUAGUUAUCGAGAAUCUACGUUUCACAUCAAUCAAUGACAGGAAUUUUGUUAGUGUUAGUAGGGAGUUAUAUAUUUAGCAGGUAGGAAGGUUGUUAGAAAUAGUUGGAGGGAAAUCAAGUUCAGUUAGUAGAGGAAAAGUCUCUGUAAAUGGAUGGUAUUUAUUUCCUGAUAAUCAGUUAAUGAAUGGAGUAAUUUUGCCGAAA